AGAGAGAGACAUGCGCGCAUAUCAAUAAGCGGAGGAAAAGAAACUAACAAGGAUUCCCUUAGUAACGGCGAGUGAAGCGGGAAGAGCUCAAAUUUGAAAUCUUCAAGGUUUUACCUUGACGAAUUGUAGUUAUAAAGAAGUGUUUUCUGCUGAAGUUUUGGUAAAAGUUCUUUGGAAUAGGACAUCAUAGAGGGUGAGAAUCCCGUAUUUGACCAUUAUUUUCAGCUUUGUGAUACACUUUCAAAGAGUCGGAUUGUUUGGGAAUGCAGUCCAAAAUGGGUGGUAAAUUUCAUCUAAAGCUAAAUAUUGGCGAGAGACCGAUAGCGAACAAGUACCGUGAGGGAAAGAUGAAAAGAACUUUGAAAAGAGAGUUAAACAGUACGUGAAAUUGUCAAGAGGGAAGCGUUUGACACCAGUGUUGUUUUCUCGAAAAUCAAUUAAAAAUGGCUCGAUUUUGUAUUGUUGAGACCUUAAAAGCUCACUGUACAUUUUUCGUGUCUUUUUUAAUGCACUUUUCGUUUAACAAGUCAACAUCAGUUUCUUUUGUUGUAAAAGGGUCAUUGGAAGGUGGCUUUCUUUUCGGAGAAAGUGUUUAUAGCCUUUGGCCUCUGCAAUCGGAAGAGACUGAGGUCUGCAGCGUAGACUCUUCGGGGUUAGAUACAUUUGUGCUAAGUUAUAGCUUUUUAUAGACAACUUGUUGACUAUAAUUAGUCUUGUAGCUUACUCGCUUAUGCUAUUUUACCUACGCUUAGGAUGUUGAAGAUGUAGCACAUCAU
RNAcentral lists this ribosomal RNA (776 nucleotides) under uncultured Neocallimastigales. RNAcentral's name for it is "partial large subunit ribosomal RNA". It matches the Rfam family "Eukaryotic large subunit ribosomal RNA", at positions 23 to 634 of the family's 3401-position model. Lineage: Eukaryota; Fungi; Neocallimastigomycota; Neocallimastigomycetes; Neocallimastigales. The record is from RNAcentral.